GAUGAACGCUGGCGGCGUGCCUAAUACAUGCAAGUCGAGCGAACAGACGAGGAGCUUGCUCCUCUGACGUUAGCGGCGGACGGGUGAGUAACACGUGGAUAACCUACCUAUAAGACUGGGAUAACUUCGGGAAACCGGAGCUAAUACCGGAUAAUAUAUUGAACCGCAUGGUUCAAUAGUGAAAGACGGUUUUGCUGUCACUUAUAGAUGGAUCCGCGCCGCAUUAGCUACUUGGUAAGGUAACGGCUUACCAAGGCAACGAUGCGUAGCCGACCUGAGAGGGGGAUCGGCCCCCCUGGACCUGAGCCCCGGUCCAGACUCCUACGGGAGGCAGCGGGAGGGAUUCUGCCGCAAUGGGCGAAAGCCGGACGGAGCAACGCCGCGUGGGUGAUGAAGGUCUUCGGUUCGUAAAACCUUGUUAUGAGGGAAGAACAAAUGUGUAAGUAACUAUGCUCGUCUGGACGGUACCAAAGCAUAAAGCCCCGCCUACCUCCGU
Molecule: ribosomal RNA, 496 nt
Filed under: uncultured bacterium
Lineage: Bacteria
Description: partial 16S ribosomal RNA
Rfam family: Bacterial small subunit ribosomal RNA
Source: RNAcentral